RNAcentral lists this ribosomal RNA (754 nucleotides) under uncultured archaeon. Its description in RNAcentral is "bacterial SSU rRNA". It matches the Rfam family "Archaeal small subunit ribosomal RNA", at positions 102 to 859 of the family's 1478-position model. The record is from RNAcentral.
AGUCAACAUGCCCAGGGGACGUGGAUAACCUCGGGAAACUGAGGAUAAACCGCGAUAGGUCAUCACUUCUGGAAUGGGUAAUGACUUAAAUCUACAUGGCCCCUGGAUUGGACUGCGGCCGAUCAGGCUGUUGGUGAGGUAAUGGCCCACCAAACCUGUAGCCGGUACGGGCUCUGAGAGGAGGAGCCCGGAGAUGGGCACUGAGACAAGGGCCCAGGCCCUAUGGGGCGCAGCAGGCGCGAAACCUCUGCAAUAGGCGAAAGCUUGACAGGGUUACUCUGAGUGAUUUCCGUUAAGGAGAUCUUUUGGCACCUCUAAAAAUGGUGCAGAAUAAUGGGUGGGCAAGUCUGGUGUCAGCCGCCGCGGUAAUACCAGCACCCCGAGUGGUCGGGACGUUUAUUGGGCCUAAAGCAUCCGUAGCCGGUUCUACAAGUCUUCCGUUAAAUCCACCUGCUUAACAGAUGGGCUGCGGAAGAUACUAUAGAGCUAGGAGGCGGGAGAGGCAAGCGGCACUCGAUGGGUAGGGGUAAAAUCCGUUGAUCCAUUGAAGACCACCAGUGGCGAAGGCGGCUUGCCAGAACGCGCUCGACGGUGAGGGAUGAAAGCUGGGGGAGCAAACCGGAUUAGAUACCCGGGUAGUCCCAGCUGUAAACGAUGCAGACUCGGUGAUGAGUUGGCUUAUUGCUAACUCAGUGCCGCAGGAAAGCCGUUAAGUUUGCCGCCUGGGGAGUACGGUCGCAAGACUGAAACUUAA